GCUCACUUUGACGGAACAUAUACUAAAAUUGGAAAGAUACAGAGACGAUUAGCAUGACCCCUGUGCGAGGAUGGCAUGCAAAUUCAGGAGGCCAUCCGUAUUUAA
This is a small nuclear RNA of Dipodomys ordii (Ord's kangaroo rat), 105 nucleotides long. The record is from Ensembl. NCBI's taxonomy places the organism in Eukaryota, Metazoa, Chordata, Mammalia, Rodentia, Heteromyidae.